GAAGCUUCGUGCAGAACUUUACUAAUUUUCAAGAUUCAAUGGCUAUCACGCGGUAUAAUCAACACCCAGAUAGCCAGUGAAUGAAGAUGGCAAACCAUUCGUUGACCAACUUGUUCAGGACCAAGCUCAUCUGCACAAACAUAUGUAAGACCUUAGUAAAAUUCUGCAUGAAGCUUUGAUUGAUUCAACUUGUAGUAUGUCAACCGAUUUUGUUCAGUAGCGGCCCAAGCAUCUACUACAAAUUCCUAAAAUAGUUUUCCAGCUCUCAAAAUUGCCGAAUACUCAGUGUCACGUUGGAACAUACGAUAACUGUAAUAUUGCAAUUGUGUCAGUCGAGUAGAUGAAGGUCCACCUUGGGAAGCGUUCCAAUGUUUCAAAUCUGGAUUCCAUCCUAGCUCACCAUAAAGGAACAAUAACACAAUGCAAUGGCAAAUAGGCUGGAUGAAACUCAUUAAUUUGCAUCAAACCAUUAUCUCAUCUCAAAUGUAACACAAUAUCUCUCAUUCCACUUGAUUCAGUUACAUCUCCCGAUAAUAUUAUUGCAAUCUCAUCGAUUGUUAGGAGAUUGUAUCGACGUCGGUCUGUUACAGAACUAUAGUGAAGAUAGGCCGGUAAAUUCACCCCCAUCAAUUCCAAUUCACUUAAAAUUGUGAGCCUGUCGAAAUUUCAUAGGAAAUGGAUUUAUUUGCAAUAAACAAUCUUGUAUAGUUUUCAAAACAUCUCUUCUCAAGUUAGGAUUUUUGUUGCUGCGAACAUCUAAAGCU
Molecule: long non-coding RNA, 764 nt
Filed under: Panax ginseng (ginseng)
Lineage: Eukaryota; Viridiplantae; Streptophyta; Magnoliopsida; Apiales; Araliaceae
Description: long non-coding RNA (PGIN_LNC005300)
Source: RNAcentral